AGAGUUUGAUCCUGGCUCAGGAUGAACGCUGGCGGCGUGCUUAACACAUGCAAGUCGAACGAAGCAUUUAAGACGGAUUCUUUCGGGAUGAAGACUUUUAUGACUGAGUGGCGGACGGGUGAGUAACGCGUGGGUAACCUGCCUCACACAGGGGGAUAGCAGUUGGAAACGGCUGCUAAUACCGCAUAAGCGCACAGCAUCGCAUGAUGCAGUGUGAAAAACUCCGGUGGUAUAAGAUGGACCCGCGUUGGAUUAGCUAGUUGGUGAGGUAACGGCCCACCAAGGCGACGAUCCAUAGCCGACCUGAGAGGGUGACCGGCCACAUUGGGACUGAGACACGGCCCAA
This 346-nucleotide ribosomal RNA is filed under the name uncultured bacterium. RNAcentral's name for it is "bacterial SSU rRNA". It matches the Rfam family "Bacterial small subunit ribosomal RNA", at positions 8 to 334 of the family's 1533-position model. The record is from RNAcentral.